RNAcentral lists this long non-coding RNA (535 nucleotides) under Setaria viridis. RNAcentral describes it as "long non-coding RNA (SVIR_LNC000330)". The record is from RNAcentral. Lineage: Eukaryota; Viridiplantae; Streptophyta; Magnoliopsida; Poales; Poaceae.
UCACUCUCAAUCAGAGAGGGGCAAAUCCCAUCUUGAUUGACCAUGUCUCAUAGCAUGCUUCUUGACAAACCCGAAAGCCACCUUUAUAACUACCCUGUUACGGCGUAGCGUUUGAUAGCCCCUAAGUAGGUCGAUCCACAUCUAGAAUACAUGCGACAAUCUCAGGUCUAAGGACAAAGCGUAUAUGUUGUUUAAAGAGAGAACUACUUCUCGUGUUGGGUCAGUCCUAGCACAUGUCUCCACAUGUGUCCACAUUAUUAGCUCAACAUCUCCAUGUCCAUGACUUGUGAAACAUAGUCAUCAACUAAUACAUGUGCUAGUCUAAUAUUCAUGUGUGUCCUCACAUGAACUCCGACUAGGGACAACUUUAGAAUAACCAUACAAGUAAAGAGUUUCACAUACAAUUCACAUAAUUGCAAAUCAAUUCAAGUAGCCUUUAAUGGAUAUUCAACGAACACAAUAUACAAAUCAUGGAUACAAAUGGAAUAUCAUCAUCUCUAUGAUUGCCUCUAGGGCAUACCUCCAACAGUCUCCC